CAAUAGCGUAUAUUUAAGUUGUUGCAGUUAAAAAGCUCGUAGUUGGAUUUCGGUUAAGAGCGACCGGUCCGCCGUUUGGUGUGCACUGGUUGGUUUUAACUUCCUGUAGAGGACGUGCUCUGGGUUUAACGACCUGGACUCGGAGUCUACGUGGUUACUUUGAAAAGAUUAGAGUGUUCAAAGCGGGCUUACGCUUGAAUAUUUCAGCAUGGAAUAACACUAUAGGACUCCUGUCCUAUUUCGUUGGUCUCGGGACGGGAGUAAUGAUUAAGAGGAACAGUUGGGGGCAUUCGUAUUUCAUUGUCAGAGGUGAAAUUCUUGGAUUUAUGAAAGACGAACUUCUGCGAAAGCAUUUGCCAAGGAUGUUUUCAUUAA
This 375-nucleotide ribosomal RNA is filed under the name uncultured eukaryote. RNAcentral's name for it is "partial 18S ribosomal RNA". It matches the Rfam family "Eukaryotic small subunit ribosomal RNA", at positions 592 to 976 of the family's 1831-position model. The record is from RNAcentral.